RNAcentral lists this ribosomal RNA (448 nucleotides) under uncultured organism. Its description in RNAcentral is "partial 16S ribosomal RNA". It matches the Rfam family "Bacterial small subunit ribosomal RNA", at positions 331 to 796 of the family's 1533-position model. The record is from RNAcentral.
GUACACUCCUGCGGGAGGCAGCAGUGGGGAAUAUUGGACAAUGGGCGCAAGCCUGAUCCAGCCAUGCCGCGUGAGUGAUGAAGGCCCUAGGGUUGUAAAGCUCUUUCACCGGUGAAGAUAAUGACGGUAACCGGAGAAGAAGCCCCGGCUAACUUCGUGCCAGCAGCCGCGGUAAUACGAAGGGGGCUAGCGUUGUUCGGAUUUACUGGGCGUAAAGCGCACGUAGGCGGACUAUUAAGUCAGGGGUGAAAUCCCGGGGCUCAACCCCGGAACUGCCUUUGAUACUGGUAGUCUUGAGUUCGAGAGAGGUGAGUGGAAUUCCGAGUGUAGAGGUGAAAUUCGUAGAUAUUCGGAGGAACACCAGUGGCGAAGGCGGCUCACUGGCUCGAUACUGACGCUGAGGUGCGAAAGCGUGGGGAGCAAACAGGAUUAGAAACCCUAGUAGUCC